Non-coding RNA from Paramuricea clavata, 73 nucleotides. The record is from the annotation of a GenBank genome assembly. Lineage: Eukaryota; Metazoa; Cnidaria; Anthozoa; Malacalcyonacea; Plexauridae.
GAACACGUAGCUCAGUUGGCAGAGCAUUGGGCUAGUAUUCCAAAGGUCGUAGGUUCGAUUCCCACCGUGGCCA